RNAcentral lists this long non-coding RNA (226 nucleotides) under Hordeum vulgare. RNAcentral describes it as "long non-coding RNA (HVUL_LNC008965)". The record is from RNAcentral. Lineage: Eukaryota; Viridiplantae; Streptophyta; Magnoliopsida; Poales; Poaceae.
AUAAUUCAGAUUUAUUUCUGAAUUUGAUGUAGUCAAAAGAGCCAAUUAUGGCAUUUAUGAUGUCCCUUAAAGGGAAUUACCCGCAUGGCGGGAAAAGUCUGGGAAGAAUGCCUGCGUAACCGGGUAAAGUUGACAUUGUAUUAUGUCAACAAUCCGUGUAUGGCGGGAGAAAUUUUGGCAAAGGUCUUAUCCUGUAUGACAGGAUAAAGUUAUGAUGACUCAUGUG